GGUUGAUCCCUGGCUCAGAGUGAACGCUGGCGGUGUGCCUAAUACAUGCAAGUCGAACGAUGAAGCUUCUAGCUUGCUAGAAGUGGAUUAGUGGCGCACGGGUGAGUAAUGCAUAGGUAACAUGCCCUUUAGUCUGGGAUAGCCACUGGAAACGGUGAUUAAUACUAGAUACUCCCUACGGGGGAAAGAAUUUUGCUAAAGGAUUGGCCUAUGUCCUAUCAGUUUGUUGGUGAGGUAAUGGCUUACCAAGACUAUGACGGGUAUCCGGCCUGAGAGGGUGAACGGACACACUGGAACUGAGACACGGUCCAGACUCCUACGGGAGGCAGCAGUAGGGAAUAUUGCUCAAUGGGGGAAACCCUGAAGCAGCAACACCGCGUGGAGGAUGAAGGUUUUAGGAUUGUAAACUCCUUUUAUAAGAGAAGAUUAUGACGGUAUCUUAUGAAUAAGCACCGGCUAACUCCGUGCCAGCAGCCGCGGUAAUACGGAGGGUGCAAGCGUUACUCGGAAUCACUGGGCGUAAAGAGCGCGUAGGCGGAAUAAUAAGUCAGAUGUGAAAUACUAUGGCUUAACCAUAGAACUGCAUUUGAAACUGUUAUUCUAGAGUGUGGGAGAGGUAAGUGGAAUUCUUGGUGUAGGGGUAAAAUCCGUAGAGAUCAAGAGGAAUACUCAUUGCGAAGGCGACUUACUGGAACAUUACUGACGCUGAUGUGCGAAAGCGUGGGGAGCAAACAGGAUUAGAUACCCUGGUAGUCCACGCCCUAAACUAUGGAUGCUAGUUGUUGCUCUGCUUGUCAGGGCAGUAAUGUAGCUAACGCAUUAAGCAUCCCGCCUGGGGAGUACGGUCGCAAGAUUAAAACUCAAAGGAAUAGACGGGGACCCGCACAAGCGGUGGAGCAUGUGGUUUAAUUCGAAGAUACGCGAAGAACCUUACCUAGGCUUGACAUUGAUAGAAUUUGUUAGAGAUAGCAAAGUGCCACGCAAGUGGAGCUUGAAAACAGGUGCUGCACGGGCUGUCGUCAGCUCGUGUCGUGAGAUGUUGGGUUAAGUCCCGCAACGAGCGCAACCCUCGUCCUUAGUUGCUAGCAGUUCGGCUGAGCACUCUAAGGAGACUGCUUCUGUAAGGAAGAGGAAGGUGAGGACGACGUCAAGUCAUCAUGGCCCUUACGCCUAGGGCUACACACGUGCUACAAUGGGAUAUACAAAGAGAUGCAAUACUGCGAAGUGGAGCUAAUCUCAAAAAUAUCUCUCAGUUCGGAUUGUAGUCUGCAACUCGACUACAUGAAGCUGGAAUCGCUAGUAAUCGUGAAUCAGCCAUGUCACGGUGAAUACGUUCCCGGGUCUUGUACUCACCGCCCGUCACACCAUGGGAGUUGUAUUCGCCUUAAGCCGGGAUGUUAAAAUAACUACUGUCUACGGCGGAUACAGCGACUGGGGUGAAGUCGUAAC
Molecule: ribosomal RNA, 1449 nt
Filed under: Helicobacter sp. RTP5S
Lineage: Bacteria; Pseudomonadati; Campylobacterota; Epsilonproteobacteria; Campylobacterales; Helicobacteraceae
Description: bacterial SSU rRNA
Rfam family: Bacterial small subunit ribosomal RNA
Source: RNAcentral